GAAGAACCAGGAGGCUUCCAGGGCCUCACCUUCCUUGAGACUGUGGGGUCAGGGUGCAUGGGGGAGAGGAGGAGGAACUGUUGUGAGCUGAGCUGAUACCCCAAAACAUGAAGGAAAUGGAGUCCAGAGAGGUCAUCUGACUUGCCAAAGGACACACAGCUACUGAGCAGUAUCCAGGCUUCUGACCCUGGGUGCACAAGACAGCAAAUGUUUUGGUAUCAUCCUCUCAAAGAAAGGCACCCUUGGCCACCGGAAAUAAGCAAAACUUCAGUUGCCUGCAAAUCAAAGGAAUUUGCAGUCUUUCCCAGGAGCUUCUUUCCAAGCGAACCAAUCAUCUACAACGUGAGGCUAAAUCUUUUAUAACACUGACUUCCUGGUCAAAGUAUAUCUUUUUUUGUAAAGUUUCCUACAACAUAUAAUUGGUGCAGUCGCCAGCCUCUGAGAUGAACCCCAGCCGCCUGGUAUUCUCAUCCUUGUGUAAUCCCCUCCCCAUCCUAUCAGGAUUGGUCUGUAUGGCCAAUAGAUUACACAGGAAGUGAUAGGAUGUCACUUCCCAGAUUAGGUUUUCAAGAGCCCUGCAGCAACCACAGAGCUCAGGCAUCCCAAAGUUUCUGCCACCUUUUUGAACUGAAGACAUUCCCUGAGAUUCCCUGAAUGGCCUGUCUUUAGCAGAUGAAUACAGAAAAUAACUGACCCUAUCAAUGGAGCAAGUGCCCUAAAAUUCCUGGAUUAUUCCAAGGCAGAAGGAUCCUGGAGAUGGAGAUGGACUGACCUUUCUUCUGCUCUGGUUGCAGAUGGUUUUAUAAUUCUAAAUAAUAUCAGUGUCAAGGAAGCAAGAUAGCAGAAUAAUUGUGCCCGCUAACUGCUACACUCCCAAGCUCUGUGACUGGUAAAUUA
Molecule: long non-coding RNA, 897 nt
Organism: Hipposideros armiger (great roundleaf bat)
Lineage: Eukaryota; Metazoa; Chordata; Mammalia; Chiroptera; Hipposideridae
Exons: 4
Source: RefSeq, a predicted model, not a curated record